RNAcentral lists this ribosomal RNA (279 nucleotides) under uncultured bacterium. Its description in RNAcentral is "partial 16S ribosomal RNA". It matches the Rfam family "Bacterial small subunit ribosomal RNA", at positions 74 to 354 of the family's 1533-position model. The record is from RNAcentral.
CCUGCACCUGCCGGCGACCGGCGCACGGGUGAGUAACACGUAUGGAACCUGGCCCGCCACAGGGGGAUAACCCGGGGAAACCCGGCCUAAUACCCCAUGCCGCCCGGACCGGGCAUCCGGUCCGGGCGAAAGGAGGAAUCCGGUGGCGGCUGGGCAUGCGGCGCAUUAGCUUGACGGCGGGGUAACGGCCCACCGUGGCGACGAUGCGUAGGGGUUCUGAGAGGAAGGCCCCCCACACUGGAACUGAGACACGGUCCAGACUCCUACGGGAGGCAGCAG